RNAcentral lists this ribosomal RNA (253 nucleotides) under uncultured bacterium. RNAcentral describes it as "partial 16S ribosomal RNA". It matches the Rfam family "Bacterial small subunit ribosomal RNA", at positions 524 to 776 of the family's 1533-position model. The record is from RNAcentral.
UACGAAGGGGGCUAGCGUUGCUCGGAAUCACUGGGCGUAAAGCGCACGUAGGCGGACUCUUAAGUCGGUGGUGAAAUCCUGGAGCUCAACUCCAGAACUGCCUUCGAUACUGGAAAGCUCGAGUCCGGGAGAGGUGAGUGGAACUGCGAGUGUAGAGGUGAAAUUCGUAGAUAUUCGCAAGAACACCAGUGGCGAAGGCGGCUCACUGGCCCGGUACUGACGCUGAGGUGCGAAAGCGUGGGGAGCAACCAGG